AUUGAACGCUGGCGGCAUGCCUUACACAUGCAAGUCGAACGGUAACAGGUCUUCGGAUGCUGACGAGCGGCGAACGGGUGAGUAAUACAUCGGAACGUGCCUAGUAGUGGGGGAUAACUACUCGAAAGAGUGGCUAAUAUCGCAUGAGAUCUACGGAUGAAAGCAGGGGAUCGCAAGACCUUGUGCUACUAGAGCGGCCGAUGGCAGAUUAGGUAGUUGGUGGGAUAAAAGCUUACCAAGCCGACGAUCUGUAGCUGGUCUGAGAGGACGAUCAGCCACACUGGGACUGAGACACGGCCCAGACUCCUACGGGAGGCAGCAGUGGGGAAUUUUGGACAAUGGGCGAAAGCCUGAUCCAGCAAUGCCGCGUGCAGGAUGAAGGCCUUCGGGUUGUAAACUGCUUUUGUACGGAACGAAAAGCCCCGGGUUAAUACCCUGGGGUCAUGACGGUACCGUAAGAAUAAGCACCGGCUAACUACGUGCCAGCCGCCGCAGUAA
This 498-nucleotide ribosomal RNA is filed under the name uncultured bacterium. Its description in RNAcentral is "partial 16S ribosomal RNA". It matches the Rfam family "Bacterial small subunit ribosomal RNA", at positions 30 to 523 of the family's 1533-position model. The record is from RNAcentral.